Molecule: ribosomal RNA, 253 nt
Filed under: uncultured bacterium
Lineage: Bacteria
Description: partial 16S ribosomal RNA
Rfam family: Bacterial small subunit ribosomal RNA
Source: RNAcentral
GACGAAGGAUGCAAGCGUUAUCCGGAUUCAUUGGGCUUAAAGGGAGCGUAGGUGGCCUUAUAAGUCAGUGGUGAAAUCUCUGGGCUUAACCCAGAAAUUGCCAUUGAUACUGUAGGGCUUGAGUAUAGAUGCCGUUGGCGGAAUAUGACAUGUAGUGGUGAAAUGCAUAGAGAUGUCAUAGAACACCGAUUGCGAAGGCAGCUAACGAAACUAUAACUGACACUGAGGCUCGAAAGUGUGGGGAUCAAACAGG